AAACAAUCGUUACAACUUUCAACAAUGGAUCUCUUGGCUCUGGCAUCGAUGAAGAACGCAGCGAAAUGCGAUAAGUAGUGUGAAUUGCAGAAUUCAGUGAAUCAUCGAAUCUUUGAACGCACAUUGCGCCCCUUGGUAUUCCAUGGGGCAUGCCUGUUCGAGCGUCAU
RNAcentral lists this ribosomal RNA (168 nucleotides) under Microsphaeropsis arundinis. Its description in RNAcentral is "5.8S ribosomal RNA". It matches the Rfam family "5.8S ribosomal RNA". From Rfam's summary of the family: 5.8S ribosomal RNA (5.8S rRNA) is a component of the large subunit of the eukaryotic ribosome. The record is from RNAcentral. Lineage: Eukaryota; Fungi; Ascomycota; Dothideomycetes; Pleosporales; Didymellaceae.